Molecule: long non-coding RNA, 356 nt
Filed under: Ananas comosus (pineapple)
Lineage: Eukaryota; Viridiplantae; Streptophyta; Magnoliopsida; Poales; Bromeliaceae
Description: long non-coding RNA (ACOM_LNC042976)
Source: RNAcentral
CCGUCCACCCUGACGGCAACCGACAACCUGAAACAGCCUAAACUCUGCUGAAAAAUAAGCUCGGCAUCCCAGCACGAGCGUAAAUGCAUUCUAAACUACCCCGAAUACCCACCGCGCUAAACAGCGGCGAUACAAUCAAAACACGGCUCCUAGAGCUAAAUCAGGUAGUAGAAUCAUAUGACGAGUCAAAACACUGAUUUUCUCCUAAGUCAAAAUUUCAAGUCCAACAUGUAUAAUAUAUUAACUCAUUCAGCAUGCUUUACAAUUCAGAUUUCAGCCCAAAGCUAAUCGAUAAAUUCAAUCAAACUGAAUAGUAGACAAAACGAAAAUCAUACACGUCGACUAUAUAUGCACUU